GACGAACGCUGGCGGCGUGCUUAACACAUGCAAGUCGAACGCUGAAGACCUGGCUUUUGUUGGGUUGGCUGAGUGGCGAACGGGUGAGUAACACGUGAGUAACCUGCCCUCUUCUUUGGGAUAACGCCCGGAAACGGGUGCUAAUACUGGAUAUUCACUGAUCUUCGCAUGGGGGUUGGUGGAAAGGUUUGUUCUGGUGGGGGAUGGGCUCGCGGCCUAUCAGCUUGUUGGUGGGGUGAUGGCCUACCAAGGCUUUGACGGGUAGCCGGCCUGAGAGGGUGACCGGUCACAUUGGGACUGAGAUACGGCCCAGACUCCUACGGGAGGCAGCAGUGGGGAAUAUUGCACAAUGGGCGAAAGCCUGAUGCAGCGACGCCGCGUGAGGGAUGGAGGCCUUCGGGUUGUAAACCUCUUUCGCUCAUGGUCAAGCCGCAACUGUGGGUUGUGGUGAGGGUAGUGGGUAAAGAAGCGCCGGCUAACUACGUG
Molecule: ribosomal RNA, 486 nt
Filed under: uncultured bacterium
Lineage: Bacteria
Description: partial 16S ribosomal RNA
Rfam family: Bacterial small subunit ribosomal RNA
Source: RNAcentral